CUCCUCUGACGUUAGCGGCGGACGGGUGAGUAACACGUGGAUAACCUACCUAUAAGACUGGGAUAACUUCGGGAAACCGGAGCUAAUACCGGAUAAUAUAUUGAACCGCAUGGUUCAAUAGUGAAAGACGGUUUUGCUGUCACUUAUAGAUGGAUCCGCGCCGCAUUAGCUAGUUGGUAAGGUAACGGCUUACCAAGGCAACGAUGCGUAGCCGACCUGAGAGGGUGAUCGGCCACACUGGAACUGAGACACGGUCCAGACUCCUACGGGAGGCAGCAGUAGGGAAUCUUCCGCAAUGGGCGAAAGCUUGACGGAGCAACGCCGCGUGAGUGAUGAAGGUCUUCGGAUCGUAAAACUCUGUUAUUAGGGAAGAACAAAUGUGUAAGUAACUAUGCACGUCUUGACGGUACCUAAUCAGAAAGCCACGGCUAACUACGUGCCAGCAGCCGCGGUAAUACGUAGGUGGCAAGCGUUAUCCGGAAUUAUUGGGCGUAAAGCGCGCGUAGUCGGUUUUUUAAGUCUGAUGUGAAAGCCCACGGCUCAACCGUGGAGGGUCAUUGGAAACUGGAAAACUUGAGUGCAGAAGAGGAAAGUGGAAUUCCAUGUGUAGCGGUGAAAUGCGCAGAGAUAUGGAGGAACACCAGUGGCGAAGGCGACUUUCUGGUCUGUAACUGACGCUGAUGUGCGAAAGCGUGGGGAUCAAACAGGAUUAGAUAUCCCUGGUAGUCCACGCC
RNAcentral lists this ribosomal RNA (734 nucleotides) under uncultured Staphylococcus sp. RNAcentral's name for it is "SSU rRNA". It matches the Rfam family "Bacterial small subunit ribosomal RNA", at positions 81 to 801 of the family's 1533-position model. Lineage: Bacteria; Bacillati; Bacillota; Bacilli; Caryophanales; Staphylococcaceae. The record is from RNAcentral.